Lacerta agilis (Sand lizard) is the source of this 1753-nucleotide long non-coding RNA. RefSeq lists it as uncharacterized. The transcript has 5 exons. The record is from RefSeq and is a predicted model, not a curated record. NCBI's taxonomy places the organism in Eukaryota, Metazoa, Chordata, Lepidosauria, Squamata, Lacertidae.
UUUUUUUUUUUUUUUUAAGGAAGGAGGCGACAUAGGAUGGAUAAGGAAUCCCCCCGCCGGUCUAAUAGGGAGAAGCGAGUGUAAGCGAGUGAAUGUGCGUGCGUGCGUAUUUCUCGCGUUAGGGAAAGUCUAGAGCUCUUCCACGCGGCUUUUUUUUUUUUUAAAGUGACAUCAGCGUGAAGAUUAUCAAUCCCCCCCCACACACCCCAACCUCCAACAAUUAAAAGGAACAAACAAAACUUUGCGCCUGGAAAGCUGGAUUUGGCAACAGAUAUCCCCUCUGGCAAUGGAAUUCCUGAGGAUGGUUCUAAUGGAAAGUGCCAAGUGACAGUGCCACAUGUUUCCUAGAAAAAACGGAAGAAAGCAAGCACAAAGAACCGUUCACAGACUUGCCCAGGGGAGCAUUUUCUCCACAUGGUAUAGAAAUCUGUCACUUUCAUGUGCAGAAGCGUCAUGAUGAAUGGACACAGCAGGGUUUGAUGCGCUGUCUCAGUGAUCGCAACUGUACAGGUAUUCCAAUUGAACUCCAUUUAUCAAGCGAUCAUGGAUUAAACAGUAACUCAGGGCUGACAAUGAAAACGUUACCAGGAGGGCGGUGAAGAAUAGAUUGAAGAAAACCAACUUCUUCAACAGAGAAUAAAUCAACAUUCAUCACUGAGGUUCUGGCAAGGACAAUGAUGUUAGUUCACAGAAACAGCAGAAGCAGUGGCAAAAGUCUUCUUGAACUGUAUUGCUUUGGACUGCAAGUGGAGAGGGAGUCCUAUUUUUGAAUGCCCCCUUGCACUUAAAUUCCACCCCCCCCAAGUGAUAAACUUGCAUGUCCCAUUAUGACUUCUGAAGCCAUUUAUCAGAGGAGGAAAACCAAAACAAAUCACUGCUUGUCUGCAUCCCCAGACCUGGAAGUUUUGUCUAGUGAGAUGGAUAGAAAAACAAAUUUCAAAAACCCCAGCCUUAAGAAAGUUCAGUGGCUACGGACUUCAGACGUGCAUGUUGAGGAACAUCAGAGGCACAAUUCAUACCUUGGAGCACUUUUCCAUUAUCAAAUGGGAUUCCCACUUCAGCAACUUGAAAACACGCACAUCUCCUUGGAGAAUUUCCUCAAAGAUGCGGUGCGCAUGGCCUGAAGAGCUCAUAUUUCUAAUCCUCUUCAGAAUGGUUUUAUUUUUUAGGGGGGGAGGGGUGGUGGAAAUGAAAAACAGCAGCUCAUACUAGAAAGGAGAUGGAGAGGAAGGCAAAGAAUCCUUGGCUGGAGAGCUGAGAAAGUGUGGCAGAAGUCAAACAAUCUUGUAUGAGAUGAAAGCGGUUACAGACAGCAGAAAUGGCGUUUCCUCCGGGGGGAAGCGACACUGCAAAUUCGUUGUUCAAAGUUCUCAUGUUUCAUCCUAACAAAUUCCAUUACAUUAGGAAGAUUAGAAAAAAAAUUGCAUUCUGUUUCCUUGGGCUGUGAAAAUGUAAGCAAAAUAAAUUCAUUGAGGAAGGGGGGAAGGGGGGGAAGAGAUGUGAUAUUUUCCUUCUCAGUAGUAGAAGGACCCCAAUAUUUGCACCUAGCGCAGCAAAGAAAUGGGGGACGUGGGGUUGCAUAAGGAAGCCAGGAACGUUUUGAAGUCCGUGUUCUCUAUAGAUCACAUUUUACAUGAACAAGAAUGAAAUGGAGAGACAUGGGCAGGAUUAUGAGCUACUGUUGAAAGAUUAUUAUUCUGAACAAUUAGUCUUAUUUUUUGGAAAGGGUUUCAGGCAAAAAGGAAAAGGGGGA